AAUAUAGUGCCUGAAAUUAAAGGAUAGUUUUGAUAGAACUAAUAAUGUAAUUAAUUACCUAUAUUA
Molecule: transfer RNA, 66 nt
Filed under: Qianguimon aflagellum
Lineage: Eukaryota; Metazoa; Arthropoda; Malacostraca; Decapoda; Potamidae
Description: tRNA-Ile
Source: RNAcentral